Molecule: ribosomal RNA, 1372 nt
Filed under: uncultured bacterium
Lineage: Bacteria
Description: bacterial SSU rRNA
Rfam family: Bacterial small subunit ribosomal RNA
Source: RNAcentral
GAUGAACGCUGGCGGCGUGCCUAAUACAUGCAAGUCGAGCGAACGGACGAGAAGCUUGCUUCUCUGAUGUUAGCGGCGGACGGGUGAGUAACACGUGGAUAACCUACCUAUAAGACUGGGAUAACUUCGGGAAACCGGAGCUAAUACCGGAUAAUAUUUUGAACCGCAUGGUUCAAAAGUGAAAGACGGUCUUGCUGUCACUUAUAGAUGGAUCCGCGCUGCAUUAGCUAGUUGGUAAGGUAACGGCUUACCAAGGCAACGAUGCAUAGCCGACCUGAGAGGGUGAUCGGCCGCACUGGAACUGAGACACGGUCCAGACUCCUACGGGAGGCAGCAGUAGGGAAUCUUCCGCAAUGGGCGAAAGCCUGACGGAGCAACGCCGCGUGAGUGAUGAAGGUCUUCGGAUCGUAAAACUCUGUUAUUAGGGAAGAACAUAUGUGUAAGUAACUGUGCACAUCUUGACGGUACCUAAUCAGAAAGCCACGGCUAACUACGUGCCAGCAGCCGCGGUAAUACGUAGGUGGCAAGCGUUAUCCGGAAUUAUUGGGCGUAAAGCGCGCGUAGGCGGUUUUUUAAGUCUGAAGUGAAAGCCCACGGCUCAACCGUGGAGGGUCAUUGGAAACUGGAAAACUUGAGUGCAGAAGAGGAAAGUGGAAUUCCAUGUGUAGCGGUGAAAUGCGCAGAGAUAUGGAGGAACACCAGUGGCGAAGGCGACUUUCUGGUCUGUAACUGACGCUGAUGUGCGAAAGCGUGGGGAUCAAACAGGAUUAGAUACCCUGGUAGUCCACGCCGUAAACGAUGAGUGCUAAGUGUUAGGGGGUUUCCGCCCCUUAGUGCUGCAGCUAACGCAUUAAGCACUCCGCCUGGGGAGUACGACCGCAAGGUUGAAACUCAAAGGAAUUGACGGGGACCCGCACAAGCGGUGGAGCAUGUGGUUUAAUUCGAAGCAACGCGAAGAACCUUACCAAAUCUUGACAUCCUUUGACAACUCUAGAGAUAGAGCUUUCCCCUUCGGGGGACAAAGUGACAGGUGGUGCAUGGUUGUCGUCAGCUCGUGUCGUGAGAUGUUGGGUUAAGUCCCGCAACGAGCGCAACCCUUAAGCUUAGUUGCCAUCAUUAAGUUGGGCACUCUAAGUUGACUGCCGGUGACAAACCGGAGGAAGGUGGGGAUGACGUCAAAUCAUCAUGCCCCUUACGAUUUGGGCUACACACGUGCUACAAUGGACAAUACAAAGGGCAGCGAAACCGCGAGGUCAAGCAAAUCCCAUAAAGUUGUUCUCAGUUCGGAUUGCAGUCUGCAACUCGACUACAUGAAGCUGGAAUCGCUAGUAAUCGUAGAUCAGCAUGCUACGGUGAAUACGUUCCCGGGUCU